AUUGAACGCUGGCGGCAUGCUUUACACAUGCAAGUCGAACGGCAGCGCGGGCUUCGGCCUGGCGGCGAGUGGCGCACGGGUGAGUAAUGCAUCGGAACGUGCCCAGCAGUGGGGGAUAGCCCGGCGAAAGCCGGAUUAAUACCGCAUACGACCUGAUGGUGCAGGCGGGGGACCGAAAGGCCUCGCGCUCUUGGAGCGGCCGAUGUCGGAGUAGCUAGUUGGUGGGGUAAAGGCUUACCAAGGCGACGAUCCGUAGCUGGUCUGAGAGGACGACCAGCCACACUGGGACUGAGACACGGCCCAGACUCCUACGGGAGGCAGCAGUGGGGAAUUUUGGACAAUGGGGGCAACCCUGAUCCAGCCAUGCCGCGUGCGGGAAGAAGGCCUUCGGGUUGUAAACCGCUUUUGUUCGGGAAGAAAUCCUCUGGGCUAAUACCCCGGGGGGAUGACGGUACCGGAAGAAUAAGCACCGGCUAACUACGUG
RNAcentral lists this ribosomal RNA (484 nucleotides) under uncultured bacterium. RNAcentral's name for it is "partial 16S ribosomal RNA". It matches the Rfam family "Bacterial small subunit ribosomal RNA", at positions 28 to 507 of the family's 1533-position model. The record is from RNAcentral.